GCUCCCACAGGCAGCGGUGGUGCUGUUGGUAGCAGGUGGCGGGGGUGAGUGUUGACCAGAGGUCGGCGACCACCUGCAGACACCGCCAGCAACAGUGGCAGUGGCCAGCAGCAAUUGGGGACCUCCUGCAGACACCGCUGACAGUGUCGGUAGCAAAGGGGAGUGGGGGUGUGGUGAGCAGUGACUGCCCGCAGGCACUGUCGGCAGUGUCAGCAGUGCUUUUUUGCAGGGGGUGCAUGUACACCCCCUACGUGUUGCCAGUGAUUGUUCUGAUUGUAAGUUGACCCUGCAUAGAAGCCAACAUUUUCAUGUUCAAUUUUAAGGUAAAAAAGCUUUCUCCCUGAUUAUAAGUCAUUAUCUACAAAUCAAGACCUUGAACUGCUACUGCCCUUACAGAAUCGAAUCCUGCAACAAAAUCUAAUAACCCAUAAGAAAGGAUCCAAAGGGUUAAAGAUACUAAAAAGCCUAAAAUAAAAAAGCAUCUUCUGUCCCAAAGAUAAUUUUGCCCAAGGCUCAGCAUAUUGUAUUCAGUCUAAAAUUCCAGGCCAAUAUGUAUCAAGACAAAUAUUUUUAUUUAAAUAGAAACUGUUUGCAGGUUUAAACAAGACUGGCUCUUAUUAAAAGGCCAAAUUUGAAUUGCCAGAUCUGGAUUCUAACCUCGUGUGACAUGUACAGCACAAGCCUGUGAUCCACAUUUUCCCUAGUCUUUAAAAGACAUGGGGAAGGAGAAAAUGGAUGGUUGUAUGGGAAUUUUCUGACAUCUUGUUUUUGUUUUGCUUUGUUGGGAAAUGCUAAUUUGUUGCAUCCAAAAUGUUUCAUUAUUGGUUUUGAACGACUUCCAGUGAAAUGCAGGCAGGGUUCCAACACAAAACUGUGUGGUUUCCUGCCAGCUCCCCUUGCAGGCUCUUCCCUGGCUCUGUGGCUCCAGUGGUGAUAUGCUACACGGUCUGCCCCAUAAUUGAAGAACCAAGGAUUCCCAGCUCCCUGUUCCCUGCAAUGGAAUUAGGGGUCUGGAAGCCUUAACUCGACACUAGACUCUUAGGAUUUAUGAGGUCUUACUUUUUAUGUUGGAAGAUUAAUGCCUGCUUCCCACUUCAGUGGAGCAGACCAGAGAGAUCCCUGGGAACUGUGUGGGGGUGGCAGUCUGGGUCACCUAGCUAUUCUGGUCCUUCCUCACCUAAGCUGAGCCCACCACCAUGACAGAGCCGGUGACCCUGCAUGACACUCUUCAGAGUCAGCCAGUCAGGCCCCAAGGGUGCCACACAGGGGUCAUCUGCUCCAGCAUGGUGGAAGUGGUUCAGCUGACUUCAGCAUGGCCCUUUUAAAAGCCAUGCUGACUGGCACUUGAGACUGCUGCAGGAAGAGAGUCAACUGUUCUGUACAAGACUACCAUAUUGUUCCAAUCAUAGGCUGACCCCACAUAUGAAUGGUUCUUUUUGAAAGGGGAAAAAGGUUGAUCUAUAAUCAGGACAACAUGGUACUAUUGGUCUCCACAACAUCCUGUAGCACUGAGUUUCACGUGUUAAUUAUACAGCGGUGAAAAAGCACUUCCUUUUUGUUGUUUUAAACCUCUUGGCUGAUACUUUCAUUACAUGCCCCCUAGUUCUUGCAUUAUGCUACAGUAAAUAACAGUUCCCUAGUCACUUUUUUAUACCAUUCAUGAUUUUAUGGCCCUCUGUCAUAUCCCUCCUCAGUCAGGAUCUUUCCAAGAUGAAGGGAUCCUACCUUCCCAGUCUCUCUUGAUAUGAAAGCUGUCCCAUUCCUCUAUCUUUCUUUGUUCUUAUAUUUUAAGAUGGCGUGACCAGAGCUGCACACAGUUUCAACAUAUGGGAAGGCCGUAGAUGUAUGUAAUAGCCUAAUUAAGUUCCUCUGCUUUAUGUUUCAUUUCUUUCCUAGUGAUUCCUAAUAUUUUAUUUCCCUUUUUGACCCCUACUGUACAUUAAAAUGAUGUUUUUAGAGAACUUUUCACAGUGAACUAAACUCCAAGAUCACUUUCCCAUGUGGUAACAAUGUUUGGGUGAAUGCUGUGACCUACAGUCGGGUUUUUAAGGGAUAAAUCCUUGCCUAAGAAGCAAUAAUAAUCUGCUUUACAGAUAAUAAUCUGAUGCAAUAAUAAAUGUGCACUCAGAUUGCAGGGCUGCCCAAGCAUCUAGCUACUGUGAAUAGUGUAAGGCAGUGUGGAGUAAUGUUGUAGCCAGGAUGCUCCAAGAAUUAUGUGAAGCAAGGAUUUUUGUCCGUAACAUCUUUUACUGGACCAACUGUGUGGUUGGGUUGAAGUUAAAGAAGCAUUCUAAUGCUACUGCAGCAUGGUAAGACAAUCCUGCUGCUCCAUUCAUUUCAAAGGAAGAAUGUGGUGGGCCACAUCACUAAAGCAUUCAUUUUGAAAGCUUUUAGCAGCUAUUAGAUUAGCUGAACCUGCCCUCAGAUCAUAUUCAGCCAAUGGAUGCUUCUUCUGAUGACGUGUCUCUAUGCUGGAUUUCGUUCAUUCAGUGCAUAUUGCCAUUCUCUGCAAGGGUGCCUCCUGCAACAGCCUUUUCAGUCUUUCUUGUAUGAUCCAGCUCUUAAUUAAAUUAAUUCAGUUGUUUAUAUGAUGCACAUUCUGAUUUCUAACAGCAUGGAGCUGGGUGAAUAACCUGCAACAAACAGUUUAUUCAAUUAAUAUUUUUGUUUUUUCUGUCCCCAGACUGCUUGUGAAGAGGUGUUAAUUGCCUCCUUUUAUAUAAUAAAAAGAGAAAUUUCUGAUUUUUUUGAUGGGGAAUACCUUACAUCCUGAGGUCCACAUGAUGUUUUACACUGAUUUCACCUCCACAUGUUUAUCUGCUAGACAGAGCUGUAUAAUGAAGCAUGGCCAGUCUCAGGGGGUUUUGCAGGCUCUUGAUAUUGCGGGGCUGUGAGCUCAGUGAGAGGCAGUGUGCAUGUCUAAUCCCUAAAUACAAAAACAGGCUUCCUUUUGGUUUACACUGAAUUUGUUAAAUGCAUGAUUGUUGAUUGUUUGCCCAUGUAAUGAUGCACAUGGGGUUUAGGACAAUUUGAAAAUAUUAAUAAGCAUGGCAACAUUUAAAUAAUACAUCAGACAAAACCAUCCUCUAGCUCAAAGGAGCAUGUCAAGAUAAAUUCACAGAAAGCAGGAAAAUGAAAAGACUUUUUCUUUAUCUCUAUUACAUACUAAAAGUGCCUAUACGGCUGUUUACACUGAGAGCCUGAUUUAGCAGCUUUGCACUGAGCUAGUGGAAUCAGCCUGUAUCUGGAGUAAUAUAAAAGCACAUUGAAUUGGUACAGAGUUGGUUAGUAUACUUUUACACGAGUGGAACUUUUGGUUUAUGUUUUACAGUUCAUUCAGCUUGGGCAGUGAAAAAGGAGCAGCCUAUUUCACUUUGGCUAGGACCCUCAAAAGUAUUUAGACAACUAAGUCAGAUGGGAGGUGACUUUGAGGAUCUAAGUCUGUCUGAUUCAUUACUUUUGUUUCCUGGUUCAGAUACAGUGAUAUAACAGCUUCGUGUUUGCAUUUCCAGUGCUGUGGUUGGGUGUUUAAAGUUUUUAAAAAAGGCUUCAGUGAAUGCUUAAUUCAUAAAUGCAAAACAUUUUAUCUGGAUCAGGCUUGAAUUAUCCCUCUCUUUCCCUUCUUUUUGGAUUUUUUGCAAAACCUAGCUGUCAUGCUUAAGCUAUUUGAUAAAAUCCCUUUCAUCGCUGAUUAGCUGACCCAGAGAAUACACUUGUUGGCUUCAUAUGACACUUUCAUCAGCUGCAAAUAGGAUUUGGACCAGUUAAACAUUAAUCUACACGUCCUCCAGAGUUCUUGAGUAGAGAGAGGUAGUUAGCCAUGUUAGUCUGAAGUCCGGCAGAAAGCAAAGCAAGGUGGAAUGAGACUAAUUGCUUAAGAGCAUUUGGCAAGAGCUUAACCUACAAGAGUGUCUACUUCUCUGAACCAGUUAAUCUCCAGAGUUUUUGAGGCUCCUUGCAAUGUGAAAGUGCAGUGGGUACAGAUGAACUGGAGCCAAGUAGUUUCACUGCAACUGCAAGAAAAUAAAAUAAAAAGGGGAUAUUUCAUUGUGGUGACAAAACUGUGGUGUGACAUCAGAAUCUGGAAAGUUUCAUUGUGGAUGGCAACAACUCUAACUUUUCAAAGAAGCUGCUGUUUUUAAACCAAUACGAAUUUGGACCCCAGUGGUCUAAAGAUGUACAUGAGCGCAUGUGGGAAUUGCCCAUAUGAUGUGGUUGCCUAAUUUUGCAACAAAAAUAGCUCUAGCAUACAGCCAGUACAUUUUCAUCCAAGCCACAAGUGCCAAAAGUGAAAUGCAGCCAAAAUUGAAAUAAGAUUUCAAUUUCUACAUAACAUUGACCUAGGCUUCAUAGAAGAUUGUUUACAUGUAUGCGUGUGGUGGGGGGAAGGAGUUGGAAGGAGGCAAAGGAGGGGAGAAGCCAAUCUUCAGAUUUUAGCUUCACUGCCUCCUCUGAGGGACCCAGCUCAUCUAAUGCCUGGACCUGGGAAAAAGAGUGCAUCUCACAUGGUCAAUCAGCAGCUGGGUCAGGCCAGUCUGUGGGGGAAAGGAGUCCAGAAGAGCUGAUUGUACUUUGAAGAAACCUUACUGAGGGCUCAGGAAUGAACCAUUCCUGUGUUUAGGAAGACUAGUGAGUAUGGCAAAAGACCAGCUUGGCUUAGCAGGGAACUCUUCAGUGAGCUAAAACACAGAAAGGAAGCUUACAAGAAAUGCAAACUUGAACAACUGACUGGGAGGAAUAUGAGUAUUGGUCAAGUAUACAGGGAUGAAAUCAGGAAGGCCAAGUCCAAUUGAAGUUGUAGAUAGCAAGGGGGUGUGAAGGGUAACAAGAAGGGUUUGUACAAAUAUGUCAGCAACAAGAGGAAUAUCGGAAACUGUGCGUCCCUUACUGAAUGGGAGAAUCAGCCUAGUGACAGAUGAUGGGGAAAAGGCUGAAGUUGUAGCAAAACCCCCAGGUUUGUUUUUUUUUUAAAUUAAAAUGCAUUCCCUCCCCUCCCACAACCAUUUUUUACUUUCUUUCUGCCCUCUCUAUCCCUUAUAAGUGAUUAUAAGUAGUACUAGGUAAGCUAAGAUUCUUAUACUCCCUUAUAGUAACAAGCCCCUUUUAUAUUGUAAAUAGUGUCCUAUUAUGUUUGCAUUGAUUUUUACUGUUUUAUAUUGUAUUAUAUUAUGUUCCUAUUAUGUUUGUAUUGAUUUUUACUGUUUUAUAUUGAAUCUAUAUGAUUUAGGCCUAUGUUCGUAAAGUAAUGUCAAGUUUCCAUUUUGAAUGUCAAGCCUCCAUCUUGUGUCCUCUGCCCAGGUGUAACCUAUGCUGUAACUGUGACUCAUGUCUAACCAGUCUCAUGUAAAUUGGUUCCUGAAUGAAUGAGAAUGAAUGAGGGUGCUUGAGGUAUGAUGGUAGCAGGCCUCUACUGAAUAAUCAGCUCAACAGCUGGACCAUCAACCCAAUGACUAGACUAUUGCCUUGCAUUGGCUCACCCAGGACCUCACCCAGGAACAGAACAGAAACCUAGCAAUUGAAAGAUAACAGGAACCCAACAUUUGGAAGACAAAGACCCUACAGAAACCAGCAACUCCACCAUUAUGUCCUACCAGACAAUGAGGACACCUGGAUCUGCACGUAGGCAUCUGAGCAGGACUGCCCUUGCCUGGACAUGUCCCUCUCAUAGGAGACACAGGUAGCCCACCCCUAUAAAAGGGGUGGUAGAAUGUGACUUCUUUGGGACGCCCUCACCAUCUGGACCAGCACUACACCAUACCACCUAUCUACCCAGAGGCCCUGCUGGCGACCCUGCUCUGGACAACACCUUGCUAGAGAAGACCCUGACUGGCCAUCGAGGAUCAACUCUCAGCCUGGGAUAGGUAGCUAUCAUGAUUCCCUUCUUUCCUCAAGCAAGGAACCUGAACUCUGUCUCUACAUACCUGGAUCUCAAAUCCUUCUGUUAAGCCUUUCCUCUCCUGCUACCAUUGUGUGGGGGUGUGUGUGAGUGUUUGCGUGUGUGUAUGGGAACCAAUAACUUUGUGGGGUUGUGUAGUGUGUUGCCUGUUUAAUAAAACUGUUACUUUGGAACCCUGA
Long non-coding RNA from Alligator mississippiensis (American alligator), 6075 nucleotides. RefSeq lists it as uncharacterized. The record is from RefSeq and is a predicted model, not a curated record. The transcript has 2 exons. Lineage: Eukaryota; Metazoa; Chordata; Crocodylia; Alligatoridae.